AAAUUCUUCCAAAACAAUCUCUGAAAUCAUUAGGAUCAUCCAUAAAAGUUGUUACCUUUCUCAAUUCCUUAAGAUCAAGACAUCUGAAACUGUAUUUGUGAGUAUUCCUUCUUCCAAUAUCCAUGGUCAAAAAAAAAUCUGCGAUGUUUGCAAAGAGAAUCUCUAAGUUCCUUGAAAACUGAUAAAAAUGCUCAUGAAUGCAAUGAGUUCAUGAUGCAAC
Molecule: long non-coding RNA, 220 nt
Filed under: Lathyrus oleraceus (garden pea)
Lineage: Eukaryota; Viridiplantae; Streptophyta; Magnoliopsida; Fabales; Fabaceae
Description: Pisum sativum (pea) long non-coding RNA (PSAT_LNC024634)
Source: RNAcentral